CUACGGGUUGCACCAGUGGGGAAUAUUGGACAAUGGGCGCAAGCCUGAUCCAGCAAUGCCGCGUGAGUGAAGACGGCCUUAGGGUCGUAAAACUCUUUCGCUAGGGAAGAUAAUGACUGUACCUAGUAAAGAAGUCCCGGCUAACUCCGUGCCAGCAGCCGCGGUAAUACGGAGGGGACUAGCGUUGUUCGGAAUUACUGGGCGUAAAGAGUUCGUAGGCGGACUGACAAGUUAGAGGUGAAAUCCCAGGGCUCAACCCUGGAACUGCCUUUAAAACUGUCAGUCUAGAGACCGGAAGAGGUUAGGGGAAUACCUAGUGUAGAGGUGAAAUUCGUAGAUAUUAGGUGGAACACCAGUGGCGAAGGCGCCUAACUGGUCCGGUACUGACGCUGAGGAACGAAAGCGUGGGGAGCAAACAGGAUUAGAUACCCGUGUAGUC
This 439-nucleotide ribosomal RNA is filed under the name uncultured bacterium. Its description in RNAcentral is "partial 16S ribosomal RNA". It matches the Rfam family "Bacterial small subunit ribosomal RNA", at positions 339 to 795 of the family's 1533-position model. The record is from RNAcentral.